Molecule: non-coding RNA, 70 nt
Organism: Dipodomys ordii (Ord's kangaroo rat)
Lineage: Eukaryota; Metazoa; Chordata; Mammalia; Rodentia; Heteromyidae
Source: Rfam
GGUAAGGUGGCUCAGUGGUAGAGCGCUUACCUUGCGUGUCUGAGGCCCUGGGUUCAAUUCCUCAGCACCA